RNAcentral lists this ribosomal RNA (506 nucleotides) under uncultured bacterium. RNAcentral's name for it is "partial 16S ribosomal RNA". It matches the Rfam family "Bacterial small subunit ribosomal RNA", at positions 29 to 523 of the family's 1533-position model. The record is from RNAcentral.
AGUGAACGCUGGCGGUAGGCCUAACACAUGCAAGUCGAACGGCAGCACAGAGGAGCUUGCUCCUUGGGUGGCGAGUGGCGGACGGGUGAGGAAUACAUCGGAAUCUACUCUGUCGUGGGGGAUAACGUAGGGAAACUUACGCUAAUACCGCAUACGACCUACGGGUGAAAGCAGGGGAUCUUCGGACCUUGCGCGAUUGAAUGAGCCGAUUUCAGAUUAGCUAGUUGGCGGGGUAAAGGCCCACCAAGGCGACGAUCCGUAGCUGGUCUGAGAGGAUGAUCAGCCACACUGGAACUGAGACACGGUCCAGACUCCUACGGGAGGCAGCAGUGGGGAAUAGUGGACAAUGGGCGCAAGCCUGAUCCAGCCAUACCGCGUGGGUGAAGAAGGCCUUCGGGUUGUAAAGCUCUUUUGUUGGGAAAGAAAUCCAUCUGGUUAAUACCCGGGUGGGAUGACGGUACCCAAAGAAUAAGCACCGGCUAACUUCGUGCCAGCCGCCGCGGUAA